Haplochromis burtoni (Burton's mouthbrooder) is the source of this 2017-nucleotide long non-coding RNA. RefSeq lists it as uncharacterized. The record is from RefSeq and is a predicted model, not a curated record. The transcript is spliced from 3 exons. NCBI's taxonomy places the organism in Eukaryota, Metazoa, Chordata, Actinopteri, Cichliformes, Cichlidae.
CCUCUCAAACCUCUUUUUUUCUUUUGCAGAUUGCUUUCUCUAUCCUUUCACAUGGCUAUAUAAAUACACAGGCCAAGAACAGAUCCAGUUUCAGUGGUAGCAGCUGCACAAACCACAUAUUAAGUAGGUGAUUUUCUCUGAGCAUAAAAAAACACAGUGAGACGUUCAAACUUAAUAUGUCCUGUGCUGCAGAGCUGAGCUCUCAUAACCACAUCAACAUCCUUUCAUGCAAUGGAAGAAAUUUAUGUCAAUACUGAACAUCUCAAAUGUGUCUACCCAACAUAUUCAACAAAUCACACAGGUCGAAGGAGCUCUAAGAGGAGUUUGUAUUUGGUUAUUAUUUUGUGUCUGAGCCUGCUGAGUGUCUUCCUGUUGGCUGGACUUGUCACUCUUGGUUUCCUCUAUCAUGAUUCAAGCAAACUUCUGUCUGCUAUGAAUAACCAAUUUUCCUCAAUGAGUGAGGAGAGAGACCUUCAAAAUGCAAAUGUCUCUGCCAUGAGUGACCAAAUUUCUUCCAUAACUGAGGAGAGAGACCUGCUGCAAGCUGACCUCACUGAAAUGACCAAAGAGUUGGAGAGGCUGCAGAGUUUGUUCAACCAGAGUGAGUCCUUGUCUGAGCUGUUGUGUGUCUUUGUAAAAGGGUUUACUGAGCGUUCCUGUUUCUUGUAAAUUCACAUUUACAAGACAAAUAUGACUGGUACAAAAACACAUUCCUUCCUGGAAUACAUUUCUUUUCGGUUUUGAGAAUCACUUGUGUUUAAGCUGGGCUCUUGUUUUCAUAUUAGCGGUUAGUAUUUUCACUGGUUAUGUAUUGUUUUCUCUGUUCGCAGUUUCUUUUAUAUUCUAGUUCAUAUUCAUAGGUGGUAUUCUAGCUGAGUCUGUCAUGGUCCUGCGUCCAUGACUCAGUGAUUUUGUGUUUGUGUUUUUUACUGUUAUUAUUUUCAUUAUUAUUCGUGGGCUGUUUUGGGAUGGUUUGUGUUUUGGGAUUUUAGAUACUGGGUUCUGGGGUUGUGCUCCCUCUAUUGGUCCCUGGUGUUAGUGUUCCCCUGUCUCGUCAGGUUAAUCAGGUCCAGCUGUGUCUCCCACCUGUGUGUGGUUUCCCAGUGUCUCUCUGUGUACUUAUAGUGUGUGUUUGCCUCUGUUCCUCGUCACGUCGUCUGUGUUCAUACUCUGUGAAAUCCCCUGCGUGCUCUCCCUUCAUGUCAGGUUUGCUACUCCUUGGUGUAGUUUCUCCCAGUUUAGUUUAUCCUUAGUUCUGUUUUGCCAUCUCCACUUUAUGUUUGGUAUUGUUAAUAAAUCGCCCUCACGUCUGAGUAAGUACUGCAUUUGAGUCCUCCUUCCACUCUUCACACGGCCGCUGCCCGAGCCGUGACAGAGUCUAUGUGCUUUGGUUAUGCAAUAUUUGUUUUUUCUGUCUUAUAGUCAUAUCUCCAUGUCUGUCCAGUUUCCCUGUUUAGUUGUGUCAGGUUUGUAUGUCUUAGUCCUGGCCUCAAUGUUAGUUACUUCCUUUUUUAUUUACAUAGUCUCUCAUCCCAUGUGCCUUAUGAUCCUUCCCCAUUAUAUUAUGUUAUGAAAUGUGUAUUACAUUUGUCUUUCAGUAUUUUAGCCUUGCAACUACUCAGCCAAAACUGAACUGACCUAGUCCGCACAGGCAUGCUAUAAUACUUCAAAUAUAACUUGGAAUUCAGACGUUUAGGUGAUAAGUUACAGCGCUGAUGUGUGUGUCUUUUUUGUGCCAUGAUUAUCCAUAACCAUGAUUUUAAUUGCACUUUGGAGAAUGAACCCAGAUCAAGCUAACACCAGAAACAAAAAUGUUUGGGGGAAUGAAGCUCCUCAAUUAUGCUCUUUCAACUUCCUAAAUCACACAUUUUUGAUAAUAUAACAACAUCUAGUGUUAGAAUAUUUAUCUAUUUCUUUUGGCUUUGGCAUUAGGUGAUGUAAUGGCUGGCAACAGACCAUCACAGAUCGAGGGAGAUUAUCAGUGGUCUUGUAUGUCUUCCAUUUUCUGAUGAUUGCU